RNAcentral lists this unclassified non-coding RNA (376 nucleotides) under Hevea brasiliensis (rubber tree). Lineage: Eukaryota; Viridiplantae; Streptophyta; Magnoliopsida; Malpighiales; Euphorbiaceae. The record is from RNAcentral.
AUUUAAUAAGAAAAUGUAGAAGUUUAAGGGAAAGGAGGGCAAGAAGGGAUCAAGGAUCAGAGCAAAAGCACGUAUCAUUCAAUCCCAAUCAUAGUCCCAUUAACAACCCUUUGAUCAUCACUUUCUUACUCCGCUGAUUUCUGAUUUCAUGACUCCUGCAUUGACAUGUUGCCGGCGUUGCUAGACGCCGGAGCUCCGAUUCAAAACCCUAAUCUUAACGGUCAGAUUUCUCUUCCUCUUUUGUCAAUCUUUAAUUCCCUCUUGUUUAUAUUCGGAUUCUCGAUCAGAACAACCACCAUCACCACCGCUACAAAGCUCUAUGAACCCAUCAAAUUUUGCUGAUUUAAAUUCUGGGUUUUCAAAUUCAAGCGGAAAU